RNAcentral lists this ribosomal RNA (216 nucleotides) under Glomeromycotina sp. Its description in RNAcentral is "partial small subunit ribosomal RNA". The stretch from base 44 to 216 matches the Rfam family "Eukaryotic small subunit ribosomal RNA", at positions 690 to 864 of the family's 1831-position model. Lineage: Eukaryota; Fungi; Glomeromycota. The record is from RNAcentral.
GGGUCAGUAGGUUGGUCGUGCCACCGGUACGUACUGGUCUCACUGAUUCCUCCUUCCUGAAGAACCGUAAUGCCAUUCAUUUGGUGUUGCGGGGAAACAGGACUGUUACUUUGAAAAAAUUAGAGUGUUUAAAGCAAGCUAACGCUUGAAUACAUUAGCAUGGAAUAAUGAAAUAGGACGAUCGAUCCUAAUUUGUUGGUUUCUAGGCUUGACGUA